Syngnathoides biaculeatus (alligator pipefish) is the source of this 393-nucleotide long non-coding RNA. RefSeq lists it as uncharacterized. Lineage: Eukaryota; Metazoa; Chordata; Actinopteri; Syngnathiformes; Syngnathidae. The record is from RefSeq and is a predicted model, not a curated record. The transcript is spliced from 3 exons.
AACGCCGCCAUCUUUUCUGGGCCCAAGAUCAUCUAGGACGGACUGAUGAAAAAUGGAAAUGUUUUUUGUGGUCCGAUAAGUCAAAAUUUCUAAUUAUUUUGGGAAAUUGUGAAAGUUUUCUCAUCCUCACCAAAGAGCAAAAGAACCAUGGACACAAAGUUAAAAAAAAACAACAUCUGUGGUGGUAUGGGCUCAGUACGAGUUCAUGAAAAGCCUGAUUGGAAGGAGGGACUCAGCGUGCACUUAUAAAAGAUGAUUUUUAAGGACAUUCCAUGCUUCAUGUAAAAAUGUUAACAUUGUUUAAUGUCACACAACUACAAGUUAUCAUCACCAGAAAGGUCGACAUCCAUAAUUAUAUCCCCUUCCUCAUCUGAAAAUAUCACAAUAAAAGCC